AACGAACGCUGGCGGCAUGCCUAACACAUGCAAGUCGAACGAGACCUUCGGGUCUAGUGGCGCACGGGUGCGUAACGCGUGGGAACCUGCCCUUAGGUUCGGAAUAACUCCCCGAAAGGGGUGCUAAUACCGGAUAAUGUCUUCGGACCAAAGAUUUAUCGCCUUUGGAUGGGCCCGCGUUGGAUUAGCUAGUUGGUAGGGUAAAAGCCUACCAAGGCGACGAUCCAUAGCUGGUCUGAGAGGAUGAUCAGCCACACUGGGACUGAGACACGGCCCAGACUCCUACGGGGGGGAGCAGUGGGGAAUUUUGGAAAAUGGGCGAAAGCCUGUUCCAGCAAUGCCGGGUGGGUGGUGAAGGCUUUAGGGUUGUAAGGCUUUUUUACCCGGGAUGAUAAUGACAGUACCGGGAGAAUAAACCCCGGCUAACUCCGU
This 432-nucleotide ribosomal RNA is filed under the name uncultured bacterium. RNAcentral describes it as "partial 16S ribosomal RNA". It matches the Rfam family "Bacterial small subunit ribosomal RNA", at positions 29 to 506 of the family's 1533-position model. The record is from RNAcentral.